CCUACGGGAGGCAGCAGUGAGGAAUAUUGGUCAAUGGGCGGAAGCCUGAACCAGCCAAGUAGCGUGCGGGAUGAAGGCCCUACGGGUCGUAAACCGCUUUUGCACGGGGAUAACACCCUCCACUUGUGGAGGUCUGCAGGUACCGUGCGAAUAAGGACCGGCUAAUUCCGUGCCAGCAGCCGCGGUAAUACGGAAGGCCCGAGCGUUAUCCGGAUUCAUUGGGCUUAAAGGGAGCGUAGGCGGCCGUUCAAGUCAGCUGUAAAAUCGCGCGGCUCAACCGCGCCCCGCAGUUGAAACUGGACGGCUUGAGUUCGCAACAGGCAGGCGGAAUUCGUGGUGUAGCGGUGAAAUGCUUAGAUAUGACGAGGAACCCCGAUUGCGAAGGCAGCCUGCUGGGGUGCGACUGACGCUGAGGCUCGAAGGUGCGGGUAUCAAACAGGAUUAGAUACCCGAGUAGUC
Molecule: ribosomal RNA, 459 nt
Filed under: uncultured bacterium
Lineage: Bacteria
Description: partial 16S ribosomal RNA
Rfam family: Bacterial small subunit ribosomal RNA
Source: RNAcentral